GAUGAACGCUGGCGGCGUGCCUAAUACAUGCAAGUCGAGCGAACGGACGAGAAGCUUGCUUCUCUGAUGUUAGCGGCGGACGGGUGAGUAACACGUGGAUAACCUACCUAUAAGACUGGGAUAACUUCGGGAAACCGGAGCUAAUACCGGAUAAUAUUUUGAACCGCAUGGUUCAAAAGUGAAAGACGGUCUUGCUGUCACUUAUAGAUGGAUCCGCGCUGCAUUAGCUAGUUGGUAAGGUAACGGCUUACCAAGGCAACGAUGCAUAGCCGACCUGAGAGGGUGAUCGGCCACACUGGAACUGAGACACGGUCCAGACUCCUACGGGAGGCAGCAGUAGGGAAUCUUCCGCAAUGGGCGAAAGCCUGCCGGAGCAACGCCGCGUGAGUGAUGAAGGUCUUCGGAUCGUAAAACUCUGUUAUUAGGGAAGAACAUAUGUGUAAGUAACUGUGCACAUCUUGACGGUACCUAAUCAGAAAGCCACGGCUAACUACGUG
RNAcentral lists this ribosomal RNA (497 nucleotides) under uncultured bacterium. Its description in RNAcentral is "partial 16S ribosomal RNA". It matches the Rfam family "Bacterial small subunit ribosomal RNA", at positions 28 to 507 of the family's 1533-position model. The record is from RNAcentral.